GGACGUACAGUAAUGUCAUGAACUGGUGAGUAAUUCCUUGAUUAAGCAAUACCACCUAGGGAUAGGGGUAGGACGAUGAAUUGUUUUUCACUGCUGCUCUAUAAUACUUUAUUAAUUGCUAGGGGAGGCUAGGGAUAGCAAGCUAGUAAUUAGUAAUAGGCUCUUUUCACCGAGGGAUCGAGUUAAGGGUAGGCUAAGAAAGUUGCAUGACAAUUAGUUAAUCAAACUAAUAAAUCAAGAGGAGAAAAUAAGAGAGAGCGGAUAAGAUGAAAUUGUAAACCCCCAAGAACUCUAUUUAUCCAUUGUUUUCUUCUCGUCAAUUGAAUCAAUCUCUUUCGCAUGUUUAUAUUUUGUUCUCACACCCAAUUAAUUAAUUUUUUUUUCAAGUCUUACGAUCUUAAUUCACACGAACGAUAAGGCCUUUCGAGUCUCUUGGGAAAACGAUACUUGGACUUACCAUUUAUUAUUACUUGAUACGAUUUGGUACGCUUGCCAAUCCGUUAACAAGUGUUUGGCGCCGUUGCCGGGGACUUGAGGUUUAUCUUUUUCAAGUAGUGUGAAUUAAUUGAAUUUGGCUUGAUUUUAUGUUUAUUUUGAUUUUUGUUCUAAUAAAUGUUUAUUAGAGUUUUGUGCUUAAUGUUUGCAGAAUGCAGUACGGACAAGGAUUUGAUUAUAUGGGCACUCAAUCCUACCAAAUUAAUUUCAAUCACUAGUGGGAGCCUCACUCAUACAUGGAUCAAAGUCGAUAUGGACAAGCUGCUGAGCCUCAUUUCAUGCCUAUACAAAGAAGUGUAGAAUCUGAUGAAAUUUUUUAGAGAAUUAUGAAUUUAGAAAUGUACCAUGUCAAAGGCAUAGAGGAGACUGUAAAGAAUGAUGAAUUCUUGCCACAAGACAUGUAUACAAGAUUUUCUUCUCAUAGAAGCAUGGAAGAAAGGCAACAAUAUCAGCGGCAGCAACAACACUCUUCACCAAUAGAAACAUGGGAGUAUGAUCAACAACUUUGCCAACAGGUAGCUGAUGUGACGGAACAUGUUAAAAGCUGUAAUGAAAGGUUCGACAAAUUUCUGGAGAGGUGUAGUUCCAAGAGAUAUGAAGUUACCUUCAGGAAUUUGGAGACACAAAUUGAUGUAGUUGUUGAUGAGGAGAAGGUGGAGAGAGAAGGGGAAAAGAUAGAAGAGGAGAAAAUAGAGGAAGAUGAAGUAGAAAGGUUGAGUGAGGGAGAGAAAGAUGAGAUGAAAGAAAAAGCAGUGGUUGAGAAAAAAGAAAAAAAUAAGAAAAAAAGAAAAAAGAAAAAAAGAAAGUGGAAGAAGGAGAAGGUUGAGAAAAAGAGGAAGAGAGGAAAGAAGAAAAGAUCACAUGAAAAACAUCUUCCUCAUAAAAAGAAAAAUCAUAGGAAGGGAAAUAAGUUCAAGUUGGCGAUCUUCAAGAAAUUGGAGACUAAAGUUCCUAUGAUUGAAACAGGUGCUUGAAGUUCUUAAUUUUCUGAAGAAAUUCAGUAGAAAGAAGAAGAAGAAAAGAAUAGCAAGCAAAAGGGAGUAUCAACACCUACUGAUAGGCGUUUGAACUCUAUCGGGUCAAGCUAAUGACGUUAAAAGAGCGUUUGCAGGGAGGCAACCCAGUUUCUGAAUUUUUUUUUCUUUUAUUUCGUAUUGAUUUGAUUUUAUUUGAUUUGAUUUGAUUUUAUUUUAUUUUAUUUUAUUUGAUUUGAUUUUAUAUUAUUUGAUUUGAUUUGAUUUGAUUUGAUUUGAUUUAUUUAUUAUUUUUUAAUUUUUGGUUAUACGCUGCUUCUUAUAGCAUAAUGAUUAGCAUCUACUGAGGGAUGCUAGAAGAUUUGUGAAUCCACUGAAGAUUCCAAGAAGGCACACCUACUGAUGGGUGUUGGAAGGUAUUGCACUUACUGACAUGUGCUAAACAGGUUUGGGUCAGACUCGUGACAUUAAACAAGCGCUACUAGGAGGCAACCUAGUAUUCUUUCUUUUACUUUUGCGUUUUAAAUUUUUAGAAUAGGUUGAAUUUUAUUUUUCAGUGUGUAUGCUUGGCCUAAAUACCCUUCUGAAGAUGUUUGACUGACUAAUUUGCAUGAUGAACUUAUUUAAUGAUAAUUUGAGGUGAUUAAUAAUUGAGUAGUGUUGCACGUUGAUAGCCAGUGAAACAGAUGUGUGAUGAGUUAUGAUUGUGGUUAUGAUGCUAAGCAGGAUGUAUGAAUGAAUGUUGUGUGAGAAAGCAUGUUGUGUGAGGUUUUGAGCUCCAGAGAUUUCAUUGCUGUUAGUAUUGUUCACUGGAAAGCAUGAAUGAUAUUGCCUUAAUCUGGAUGGUUGAUUGAAUUGCAUGUGAAUGUCAUAUGAUCAAGGCCAUUUUUUAAAACCUUUCUCUAGCCAAAUUUUCAUCCAAAGUGCUUGAAAAUAUUAUACCCUUUUUGAACCUUAGAAUUAAACAGGAUGUGAACCCUUGUCUUGAAAUUCUUUACCUUGAGUUGGGAUGANCUUAANUNUAUGUGAUGAAAAGGUUCAAGUUUGGGGUUGCAUGGGGGAAAUUGGAAAGCUUUUAAGAAGCAUUGAGCUCAAUUGUUGAAAAAGAAAAAUGCAUGUGAAAAAGAAAAAAAAAAAUAAGAAAAGGCAUGAAGAUGAGCUCAAUGGAAAAGAAAAGGGAAAGAAGUUGGGAAUGAGUGAGAUUGGUGAGGAAGAGAGUUGUGCUUAAAUGAUGAAUACUAUGAGAUCUCUCUUGACUCAAGGAUUUUGUUUUCCAGAAAAACCAAUUUUUCUUGUUAGCCCAACCUCAUUACAAGCCUAGGAAAAGUCCUUUUGAUGGCAUUUGCAUGUAAAGAUGUUGAUUGUUUGAGAUGAAUGACAAUUCUAUUUCUUGUGACUUGUGAAUGAUAGAGAGUUGGAGUGUCACCCUAAACACUUGAGUGAUUGGGUGAAACACUUGCUUGGUAUGAAUUGUUAAUUUUCAUGAGUGCAUUUUUGCUUAGUGGAUUGGUCAUUCAUAAUGUGCAACAUUUGUUGUGCAAUCUCUGGAUUGAAAGGAUGCAUGCAUCUUAAUUUGAUUUCACUGAAGAUUUGAGAUUGAGUAGUGUUUGUCAUGUACUUUAGGAGUGUUGAAUCAUUGGAUGAAAUAGUAUAAAGCCAAGCUCUGUUUGUGUGCUGUUUUGUUUUGUUUGCUUGAGGACAAGCAAAGUUCUAAGUUUGGGGUGGUGAUGAAGGUUGAAAAAUAGUUAUUUUAAUGUGUCAUUUUAGACCAAAUUACUCCCUUUACUGCUUAGAAUGAGCUUAGAAUCAAGCAAAACUUAAUAAAUGAGUCUUUAGAGAGUCACAACCUUAAUAAGUGAAGAAUGGAGUUAAAGAUGAAGGUUGUAGACUCAAGCAAAGGGAAGAAAAAUGAACAAAUGAAGAGUCGACGUAUCGCCCGACGGAAAAUUACACCGCUGGGCUCCAUUUCUUCUUAUCUAGGGUUUUCUUUUCCAUUCUUCAUCCAUUUUUUAUCUAGUUUCACCAUGACAAUGGUGAUCUAAACCCUAUUUUUGUUGGGGGAAACAAUGUAAUCUUUUGAUACUCUCUUCUAUUGAAACUCUUGUUUAUUUAUAUGGUUUCCAUAUGCUUUGAUUAUUAAUUGUUGGGUUCUCAUCUGUUCUUAAUGCUUUUAUCAUUUAACUCAUUUAAUAACUGUUGUUUGUCUUUAUUGAUACGGGGACGUACAAUAAUGUCAUGAACUGGUGAGUAAUUCCUUGAUUAAGCAAUNCCACCUAGGGAUAGGGGUAGGACGAUCAAUUGUUUUUCACUUCUACUCUAUAAUGCUUUUUUAAUUGCUAGGGGAGGCUAGGGAUAGCAAGCCAAUAAUUAGUAAUAGGCUAUUUUCGCCGAGGGAUCGCGUUAAGGCUAGGCUAAGAAAGUUGCAUGACAAUUAGUUUAUCAAGCUAAUAAAGCAAGAGGAGUAAAUAAGAGAGAGCGGAUAAGAUGAAAUUGUAAACGCCCAACAACUCGAUUUAUCCAUUGUUUUCUUCUCGUCAAUUGAAUCAAUCCCUUUUGCAUGUUUAUAUUUUGUUCUAACACCUAAUUAAUUAAUUUUUAUUUUCAAGUCUUACGAUAUUAAUUCACACGAACGAUAAGGCCUUUCGAGUCUGUUGGGAAAACG
RNAcentral lists this long non-coding RNA (4131 nucleotides) under Vigna radiata. RNAcentral's name for it is "long non-coding RNA (VRAD_LNC001763)". Lineage: Eukaryota; Viridiplantae; Streptophyta; Magnoliopsida; Fabales; Fabaceae. The record is from RNAcentral.